This 253-nucleotide ribosomal RNA is filed under the name uncultured bacterium. RNAcentral describes it as "partial 16S ribosomal RNA". It matches the Rfam family "Bacterial small subunit ribosomal RNA", at positions 524 to 776 of the family's 1533-position model. The record is from RNAcentral.
UACGAAGGGUGCAAGCGUUACUCGGAAUCACUGGGCGUAAAGCGUGCGUAGGCGGUUUCUUAAGUCUGUCGUGAAAGCCCUGGGCUCAACCUGGGAACGGCGAUGGAUACUGGGAAGCUAGAAUGUGAGAGAGGAUGGUGGAAUUCCCGGUGUAGCGGUGAAAUGCGUAGAGAUCGGGAGGAACACCAAUGGCGAAGGCAGUGCUCUGGGCUAACACUGACGCUGAGGUGCGAAAGCGUGGGUAGCGAACGGG